CCUCCCUCCAAAAAUCGACAUCUCCAUUCCCAUUCUCUCCAAAACCAAGGAUCUAGCUCAAGGUUCUUCUCCCUUCUCCUCUCCACCAUAAAUCGCCACCUAGGAAAGGGGAUUUUUGUGCUUUUUCCCUUUGAUUGAAACGGUUGGAGCGUGCCCUAGCACUCCACCGUUCUUCUCAAAUCUGCCUCUUCUCCCCACCAAAAUCCCU
This 208-nucleotide long non-coding RNA is filed under the name Elaeis guineensis (African oil palm). RNAcentral's name for it is "long non-coding RNA (EGUI_LNC031529)". The record is from RNAcentral. Lineage: Eukaryota; Viridiplantae; Streptophyta; Magnoliopsida; Arecales; Arecaceae.